This 518-nucleotide unclassified non-coding RNA is filed under the name uncultured Glomeromycotina. Its description in RNAcentral is "SSU rRNA". It matches the Rfam family "Eukaryotic small subunit ribosomal RNA", at positions 571 to 1092 of the family's 1831-position model. The record is from RNAcentral. Lineage: Eukaryota; Fungi; Glomeromycota.
CAGCCGCGUAAUUCCAGCUCCAAUAGCGUAUAUUAAAGUUGUUGCAGUUAAAAAGCUCGUAGUUGAAUUUCGGGAUCAAAUUGUUGGUCGUGCCUCGGUACGCACUGGUAUUAUUGGUUCCUACCUUCUGAAGAACCGCGAUGUCAUUAAUUUGGUGUCGUGGGGAAUCAGGACUGUUACUUUGAAAAAAUUAGAGUGUUUAAAGCAGGCUUACGCUUGAAUACAUUAGCAUGGAAUAAUGAAAUAGGACGUUUGAUUCUAUUUUGUUGGUUUCUAGGAUUGACGUAAUGAUUAAUAGGGAUAGUUGGGGGCAUUAGUAUUCAAUUGUCAGAGGUGAAAUUCUUGGAUUUAUUGAAGACUAACUACUGCGAAAGCAUUUGCCAAGGAUGUUUUCAUUAAUCAAGAACGAAAGUUAGGGGAUCGAAGACGAUCAGAUACCGUCGUAGUCUUAACCAUAAACUAUGCCGACUAGGGAUCGGAUGAUGUUAAUUUUUUAAUGACUCAUUCGGCGCCUUACG